RNAcentral lists this ribosomal RNA (115 nucleotides) under uncultured bacterium. Its description in RNAcentral is "partial 16S ribosomal RNA". It matches the Rfam family "Bacterial small subunit ribosomal RNA", at positions 1358 to 1482 of the family's 1533-position model. The record is from RNAcentral.
UACGGUGAAUACGUUCCCGGACCUUGUACACACCGCCCGUCAAGCCAUGGAAGCCGGGUGUACCUAAAGUCGAUAACCGUAAGGAGUCGCCUAGGGUAAACUGGUGACUGGGGCU